Molecule: long non-coding RNA, 450 nt
Filed under: Rosa chinensis
Lineage: Eukaryota; Viridiplantae; Streptophyta; Magnoliopsida; Rosales; Rosaceae
Description: sRNA RchiOBHm_Chr6g0289541
Source: RNAcentral
GUGGACUUCUCAUUUCUCUCUUCUUCUUCUUUUUUUUGGGUCUCUCUUAACACCAUUUCUGUUUUCUUCUCAGUGCAAGAACUCCAUUUCUCUCUCUUCUUCUUUUGAAACUUACCAGAAUAACAUCUUUGAACCUUCCUCACGGUCACCAUCUCACCGAUCUCAUCGCCCCUUCUUCACUCGUCCCUUACCUUUCACUUUGGCCCGCUCAGAUUUUCAGAAUUUCUUCCUCUCUCCAAUUGGAUCGUCCUCUUCCAUGGCUCAAGCGGUUCGCUCUUCCUCUCCUGCCCGCGGUGGUCCUUUGCUUGGAUAAUUGAUUUUUUUUGUAAAAAUCAGAUCUGAUUCGUGAGGAUAAUUGAUUUGAUUUGAUUUUUUUUAUCUUUUUGUAAAAAUCAGAUCUGAUUCGGUAUGUUAUCUGAUUCGUUAUGUUGUUCGUUGAUAGCUAUAUGA